CCCUUCAAAUGCGAAAGCGACUGCCUUCUUGGAACACUCAAAACUAGCAUCUGAUGAAUGCCUACAUUCAGUCCACAAAGCAACAAUCUUAUAAGCUGCUCGUCGGGCAUGAUGGCUCACACCUGUAAUUCCAGCACUCUGGGAGGCCAAGGCAGGUGGAUCGCCAGAGCUCUGGAAUUCAAGAUCAGCCUGGCCAACAGGGGAAAACUCCGUUUCUACUAAAAAUACAAAAAUUAGCUGGGUGUGGUGGCACUCACCUGUAAUCCUAGCUACUAGGGAGGCUGAGGCAGGAGAAUCGCUUGAACCCAGGAGGCGGAGGUUGCAGUGAGCCGACAGUGCCACUGCACUCCAGCCUGGGCAACAGAGAGAGACUCCAUCUCAAUCAAUCAGUCAAUCACUAAGCUGCUACCAAGGGAGCCAUUUAAGUCUUGAGCUGCUACAGCUCCUCCCUUUAACAAGAAUAUUAGAAGAUACCUGCCUCUACUAAAUUUGGCACUUCAUUCUCAGACAUACCACUCUUUCAAUUCUGAUCCAAUUCUACUAUUAAGACAUCUAAACUA
Molecule: non-coding RNA, 560 nt
Filed under: Pan troglodytes (chimpanzee)
Lineage: Eukaryota; Metazoa; Chordata; Mammalia; Primates; Hominidae
Source: RNAcentral